CAGUUGGGGGCGACCAGGCCAGCAGAGGGGAAGUUGGGGGCAACCAGGCCAACAGGGGAGGGUAGCUGGGGGCAUUAGGCAGACAGGCAUGUUAGUGGUUAGGAGCCAGUGGUCCUGGAUUGCGAGAGGGAUUUAUGGGCCUAAGCCGGCAG
Molecule: long non-coding RNA, 152 nt
Organism: Myotis brandtii (Brandt's bat)
Lineage: Eukaryota; Metazoa; Chordata; Mammalia; Chiroptera; Vespertilionidae
Exons: 3
Source: RefSeq, a predicted model, not a curated record